AGCGGCGGACGGGUGAGUAACGCGUGGGAACGUACCCUCUUCUGCGGAAUAGCCACUGGAAACGGUGAGUAAUACCGCAUACGCCCUUCGGGGGAAAGAUUUAUCGGUGAAGGAUCGGCCCGCGUUAGAUUAGAUAGUUGGUGGGGUAACGGCCUACCAAGUCUACGAUCUAUAGCUGGUUUUAGAGGAUGAUCAGCAACACUGGGACUGAGACACGGCCC
This 221-nucleotide ribosomal RNA is filed under the name Alexandrium margalefii. Its description in RNAcentral is "partial Bacterial small subunit ribosomal RNA". It matches the Rfam family "Bacterial small subunit ribosomal RNA", at positions 94 to 332 of the family's 1533-position model. Lineage: Eukaryota; Dinophyceae; Gonyaulacales; Pyrocystaceae. The record is from RNAcentral.